ACAAGAAAUAACAACUCGGGCCUCACACGAGGUUACGAGAUUGCAAUGAGAACAAUUUAAACCUCUUAUCGAGUAACAAUUGGAGGGCAAGUCUGGUGCCAGCAGCCGCGGUAAUUCCAGCUCCAAUAGCGUAUAUUAAAGUUGUUGCAGUUAAAAAGCUCAGUAGUUGAAUAUCUGGCCGGUGGUGUGUUGGCUCCCUGAGUCGAUGCAUCGCCUGGUUAUCCGUAUGGGAAGCUAGCUCGGCCUUCACUGGUCGGCUAGUGGAUCAUACACUUUACUUUGAAAAAAUUAGAGUGUUUCAGGCAGGCAAUUGCUUGGAUACUUGAGCAUGGAAUAAUGGAAUAGG
This 346-nucleotide ribosomal RNA is filed under the name Colpoda minima. RNAcentral describes it as "SSU rRNA". It matches the Rfam family "Eukaryotic small subunit ribosomal RNA", at positions 470 to 826 of the family's 1831-position model. The record is from RNAcentral. Lineage: Eukaryota; Ciliophora; Colpodea; Colpodida; Colpodidae.